GUGGGGAAUAUUCCGCAAUGGACGAAAGUCUGACGGAGCAACGCCGCGUGAGUGAUGAAGGUUUUCGGACUGUAAAGCUCUGUUGUUUAGGACGAAAGUGCCUGUUGCAAAUAGUUACAAGUAUUGACGGUACUGAACGAGGAAGCCACGGCUAACUACGUGCCAGCAGCCGCGGUAAUACGUAGGUGGCAAGCGUUGUCCGGAAUUAUUGGGCGUAAAGAGCAUGUAGGCGGGAAUCUAAGUCUGUUGUGAAAAUGCGGGGCUCAACCCCGUAUUGCGAUGGAAACUGGGUUUCUUGAGUGCAGGAGAGGAAAGGGGAAUUCCCAGUGUAGCGGUGAAAUGCGUAGAUAUUACGCAGAACCCCAAUUGCGAAGGCAGCUUACUGGACCGGUUACUGACGCUGAGGCACGAAAGCGUGGGUAUCAAACAGGAUUAGAAACCCGUGUAGUCC
Molecule: ribosomal RNA, 451 nt
Filed under: uncultured bacterium
Lineage: Bacteria
Description: partial 16S ribosomal RNA
Rfam family: Bacterial small subunit ribosomal RNA
Source: RNAcentral